CUCCCGAAGAAAGGCUCCGCCGAAGAGUUAAAAGUCUAUGCAUGUACUGCGCAAAUCCGUUACAUACUGUGCAAGAUUGUCCUUUACUUCAAAAAUCUAAAAGAAUGGCACCAAAGACAACUGAAGGUUGAAGGCAUUAUUGAUUCUGGGGCAUAUGGAAACUUCAUUGAUUACCACACUGCUGUUUCUAAUAAAAUUCCUUUGAUUUGCAAACCAAAA
Bombina bombina (fire-bellied toad) is the source of this 219-nucleotide long non-coding RNA. RefSeq lists it as uncharacterized. Lineage: Eukaryota; Metazoa; Chordata; Amphibia; Anura; Bombinatoridae. The transcript has 2 exons. The record is from RefSeq and is a predicted model, not a curated record.